GUAAACAGAAUGUUCAGUUAGAAUUGGAGAUGAGGAGCAGCGAGAAAAUCUGUCUUUCUCUUUCUGCAUGCUUUAAUCUACUAAUUCAUUUCUCUCUUUCUUAGCUCCUUCCUUUUCUUUUUUACUCCUUACUUCGUACCACCUGCUAUUUGGAGCAGCACCCAGUUAUCUUUGUCCAAGUUGCUUGCCUCUCUUCCUUAAAAAUAAUUUUUUUAAAAAUCUCCCCUCCCCUACAUAUUUUGUAAAGUGUCCUGCUCUAAUGCUCAUAUGCAGUUUUGUGGCUGUACUGUAAUAGCUGCUGCUGCCUCUAAAUAGGGUUACCAGAUAGCAACUGUGAAAAAACGGCACAGGGGGUAGGGGAUCGGAGGGGGGGGAGGAUAGGCGCCUAUAUAAGAAAAAUUCCCAAAAAACAGGACUGUCCCUUUAAAAAUGGGACAUCUGGUCACUCUAUCUCUAAAUCAUAAUCUUUUGGGGCAGGGUACCCUUCUCUUAUGUUACAGAGCUGUGUUUCUGUUUUUUAAAUAUAUGUGUGUGUGUGUGUGUGUGUUUAUAAACAUAAAGCUAAAAGUACAAUUUUUAUGCCUAUCUUUAUAGCUAAAUCUUUCAGACCAUGUUUUUGUUUGUUGUUUGUUUGUUUUUGCUAGGUGCCUGUGGUGUCACACCAAGGUUAAAAUCUGCUGCCUUAAGUGCGGAAGAUGUGACGAAGAAUUACUUGCCUCCUGGGACCACUGUGAGUUAUGUCUGUCGUCCAGGAUAUGAGAGCACCGAACUGAGACCUGUCAUUACUUGUCUUGAGAAUUUAACGUGGUCAGAAGCCCCUGAGUUCUGUAGAGAAAUCGUGUGGUGUUCCAAAAGGACCUGAGCAUGGCAGAGCUGUUGAUACAACAAAUUACCUGUAUGGUGCAAGAGUAAACAUCAUUUGUGAUGAUGGGUGAGUGUUGGGCAGUCGGUGCUGAUGAAUUCACAGAGCUCAGUUUGGUGUAGAACUACUGGUGAGCAGUGGAAAAUGAAUAAUAGAAAUUCUGAUCUAAUUUAAAAACAUAAUCUAAGCAAGUGCUACAGAUCUGCUGUCCUGGCUUCAGGGCCCUAUUGAAAAAGUAUAACCUUCACACUGAAUUUGGCCAGGUGUGGCUCAUGAUCCCUCAGUCCUCCAG
RNAcentral lists this long non-coding RNA (1154 nucleotides) under Chrysemys picta bellii (western painted turtle). RNAcentral's name for it is "lncRNA (ENSCPBG00000009771.1)". Lineage: Eukaryota; Metazoa; Chordata; Testudines; Emydidae. The record is from RNAcentral.